Molecule: ribosomal RNA, 441 nt
Filed under: uncultured Glomus
Lineage: Eukaryota; Fungi; Glomeromycota; Glomeromycetes; Glomerales; Glomeraceae
Description: SSU rRNA
Rfam family: Eukaryotic small subunit ribosomal RNA
Source: RNAcentral
AGCAGCCGCGGUAAUUCCAGCUCCAAUAGCGUAUAUUAAAGUUGCUGCAGUUAAAAAGCUCGUAGUUGAAUUUCGGGACCAUCAUGUCGGUCGUGCCUCGGUACGUACUGGCAUUGUUGGUUUCUACCUUCUGACGAACCAUGAUGUCAUUUAUUUGGUGUCGUGGGAAAUCAGGACUGUUACUUUGAAAAAUUAGAGUGUUUAAAGCAGGCUUUAGCUUGAAUACAUUAGCAUGGAAUAAUGAAAUAGGACGUUCGAACCUAUUUUGUUGGUUUCUAGGAUCAACGUAAUGAUUAAUAGGGAUAGUUGGGGCAUUAGUAUUCAAUUGUCAGAGGUGAAAUUCUUGGAUUUAUUGAAGACUAACUACUGCGAAAGCAUUUGCCAAGGAUGUUUUCAUUAAUACAAGACGAAAGUUAGGGGAUCGAAGACGAUCAGAUACCG